CCUGUGCCGAGGUUUUUCUUGCAGCUUCUUUUCCCCGGCUGUACAGGUUGUGAGAAGCUGCAGUAGUUUUAGGCGGAUGAGACGUUCGUUAUGUAAAAAUUGACGAUUCAAAGUGUAACUAUGUUACCUACUGAAUAAAGAUAUUUUUGAAUUUGAAU
This is a long non-coding RNA of Pectinophora gossypiella (pink bollworm), 158 nucleotides long. RefSeq lists it as uncharacterized. Lineage: Eukaryota; Metazoa; Arthropoda; Insecta; Lepidoptera; Gelechiidae. The transcript has 2 exons. The record is from RefSeq and is a predicted model, not a curated record.